Long non-coding RNA from Mus caroli (Ryukyu mouse), 844 nucleotides. RefSeq lists it as uncharacterized. Lineage: Eukaryota; Metazoa; Chordata; Mammalia; Rodentia; Muridae. The record is from RefSeq and is a predicted model, not a curated record.
UUACUUUAAAAAGUUACUUGGGGUUGGGUGUGAUCCCUCGCGCACGAGGCUGGCGCAGAAGGAUGACGUAUUUGAUCAUGUGACCAGCCAAGACAACUAACCAUCUGGAAAUGUGAAUCUCGACAAACAUCACAGGACUGAGGCCCUAACACACGGGGAUACGUUUGAUGUACAUUCAUGCUCAGUACUGUCGCUGGCCCUGGAGCAGCCUUUAAUCACACACACAUGAAGCUGGUGAAGACGGACAGUUGUUGGACUUGGCUCUGUUCCAUCCAUUCCCAGGAAGGAGAAGGGAGCUCUCUCCAGGAAGUACAGGAUCUGCAGGAAGAAGAGGUGCCCACCAGGAAGAACGAGAUAGGUCUCCCACACUCCAUGCUGGCCUGGCACCUUGGGCAUCUCACUGGACCCUUCUGAGUGUCAAGUGUCCUCCUUUUUGUAAGGCUUCAAUGUAUGUGGGAGGAUGAGGUGAUUUCCUACUAAGCUACUGCAAGACUUCAGAGUACUACGUUCAAGUUCCAGGAGGCAGUGUUCCGGGCUAAGCUCCUGUGCUAGCUGUGCUAGGCCCCAAAGACCAGGGUAACGCAUCAGAACUGUCAUGCUGAAGCCCUGUGCCACCAGGAUGAAACUGAGCCACUUAUUUCUCCUUUGAGAAAUCAGGAUUAGGAGAUAACAGCUGGAUUUCCUAAGUGGGACCAGUUUCAACUGGCACAAUAGUCAGAUUCCCUCUGCCUUAAUCCUACAGCUAACCUCAGGUAACCUGCUUGAUGAGCAGUUUCCUAUUGUUCUAACUCCCUGCCCUGCCUUACAAGGCAAGGAACUUUGAAAUGACCAAUCUGUUCCUCGU